RNAcentral lists this ribosomal RNA (253 nucleotides) under uncultured bacterium. RNAcentral's name for it is "partial 16S ribosomal RNA". It matches the Rfam family "Bacterial small subunit ribosomal RNA", at positions 524 to 776 of the family's 1533-position model. The record is from RNAcentral.
UACGGAGGGUGCAAGCGUUAUCCGGAUUCACUGGGUUUAAAGGGUGCGUAGGUGGGUUGGUAAGUCAGUGGUGAAAUCUCCGAGCUUAACUUGGAAACUGCCAUUGAUACUAUCAAUCUUGAAUAUUGUGGAGGUCAGCGGAAUAUGUCAUGUAGCGGUGAAAUGCUUAGAUAUGACAUAGAACACCAAUUGCGAAGGCAGCUGGCUACACAUAUAUUGACACUGAGGCACGAAAGCGUGGGGAUCAAACAGG